AUUGAACGCUGGCGGCAGGCCUAACACAUGCAAGUCGAGCGGAUGAAGGGAGCUUGCUCCUGGAUUCAGCGGCGGACGGGUGAGUAAUGCCUAGGAAUCUGCCUGGUAGUGGGGGAUAACGUCCGGAAACGGGCGCUAAUACCGCAUACGUCCUGAGGGAGAAAGUGGGGGAUCUUCGGACCUCACGCUAUCAGAUGAGCCUAGGUCGGAUUAGCUAGUUGGUGGGGUAAAGGCCUACCAAGGCGACGAUCCGUAACUGGUCUGAGAGGAUGAUCAGUCAACACGGAAACUAGACAAGGUCCCAAAUUCCAAGGGGAGGAAGCGGUGGGAAUAAUUGACAAUGGGCGAAAACCCUAUCCCGCCAAGGCGGGGGGUGUAAGAAAGGUUUUCGAAUUGAAAACACCUUUAAGUGGGAAGAAGGGGAAGUAGUUAAUACCUUGCUGUUUUGACGUUACCAACAGAAUAAGCACCGGCUAACCUCGUG
RNAcentral lists this ribosomal RNA (484 nucleotides) under uncultured bacterium. Its description in RNAcentral is "partial 16S ribosomal RNA". It matches the Rfam family "Bacterial small subunit ribosomal RNA", at positions 30 to 507 of the family's 1533-position model. The record is from RNAcentral.